Molecule: ribosomal RNA, 253 nt
Filed under: uncultured bacterium
Lineage: Bacteria
Description: partial 16S ribosomal RNA
Rfam family: Bacterial small subunit ribosomal RNA
Source: RNAcentral
UACGUAGGGGGCAAGCGUUGUUCGGAAUUACUGGGCGUAAAGGGUUCGUAGGUGGCUUGCUAAGUCAGACGUGAAAUCCCUCAGCUUAACUGGGGAACUGCGUCUGAUACUGGCGAGCUUGAGUGCAGGAGAGGAACGCGGAAUUCCAGGUGUAGCGGUGAAAUGCGUAGAUAUCUGGAGGAACACCGGUGGCGAAGGCGGCGUUCUGGACUGCAACUGACACUGAGGAACGAAAGCCAGGGGAGCAAACGGG